CUGACUGAUUGGCUGGCUGGCUGGCUGACUGGCGGACUUCCUGACUGAUUGGCUGGCUGGCUGGCUGGCUGGCUGGCUGGCUGACUGGCUGGCUGACUGGCUGGCUGACUGUCCUUCCAUUGCCUUCUCUCCCCGGGGAUUCAGACGGGAAAACAAAGCCAGAGAACUUGAACCAACUGUAAUGUAACUAGUUAAAGCAGGCGACACACUUGAGUCUGUCUGUCUGUCUGUCUGUCUGUUAAAGCCAUGAUUAUUCAAUACUACCAUAAUUAUAUUAUUCUAUUGAUCUGUUAUAGUCAUGAUUAUUCAACACCACCAUAAUUAUAUUAUUCUGUUGACAUUGUUGGGGUUGUGAACGUACAGUACAGUAAGAGACUAUUGUUUGUGGAUACUGUACUUUUUAAAGACGAAGCUGAGAACACUGCUGCUACCUGACGGUGACUGUAACAUUAGGUCUGUAGGGUGCCCAUAUUAGGACAGCGUCAAUCACAGCAGUCGUUAUUAGGUCCUGGUCAGACUGAGGAUGCCCUAAUACAGACACCAUAGGUGUGUUAUUUAACAAUGGUUUUCAUUCCAAAUGGCACCUUGUUCCCUUUGUAGCAGAACUAUUGUUGACCAGGGCCUACAGUGUUGACCAGGGCCUACGGUGUUGACCAGGGCCUACGGUGUUGACCAGGUCCUACGGUGUUGACCAGGGCCUACGGUGUUGACCAGGGCCUACGGUGUUGACCAGGGCCUACGGUGUUGACCAGGGCCUACAGUGUUGACCAGGUCCUACAGUGUUGACCAGGUCCUACAGUGUUGACCAGGUCCUACAGUGUUGACCAGGUCCUACGGCUGCUGGUGUUGACCAGGUCCUACAGUGUUGACCAGGGCCUACAGUGUUGACCAGGUCCUACAGUGUUGACCAGGUCCUACAGUGUUGACCAGGUCCUACGGCUGCUGGUGUUGACCAGGUCCUACAGUGUUGACCAGGUCCUACAGUGUUGACCAGUUCCUACAGUGUUGACCAGGUCCUACAGUGUUGACCAGGUCCCACGGCUGCUGGUGUUGACCAGGUCCUACAGUGUUGACCAGGGGCUACAGUGUUGACCAGGUCCUACAGUGUUGACACAGGUCCUACAGUGUUGACCAGGUCCUACAGUGUUGACCAGGUCCUACAGUGUUGACCAGGGCCUACGGCUGCUGGUGUUGACCAGGUCCUACAGUGUUGACCAGGGCCUACAGUGUUGACCAGGUCCUACAGUGUUGACCAAGUCCUACAGUGUUGACCAGGUCCUACAGUGUUGACCAGGUCCUACGGCUGCUGGUGUUGACCAGGUCCUACAGUGUUGACCAGGGCCUACGGUGUUGACCAGGGCCUACGGUGUUGACCAGGUCCUACGGCUGCUGGUGUUGACCAGGGCCUACGGUGAUGACCAGGGCCUACAGUGUUGACCAGGUCCUACGGCUGCUGGUGUUGACCAGGUCCUACGGCUGCUGGUGUUGACCAGGUCCUACGGCUGCUGGUGUUGACCAGGUCCUACGGCUGCUGGUGUUGACCAGGUCCUACAGUGUUGACCAGGUCCUACAGUGUUGACCAGGUCCUACAGUGUUGACUAGGGCCUACGGCUGCUGGUGUUGACCAGGUCCUACAGUGUUGACCAGGGCCUACAGUGUUGACCAGGUCCUACAGUGUUGACCAGGUCCUACGGCUGCUGGUGUUGACCAGGUCCUACAGUGUUGACUAGGUCCUACAGUGUUGACCAGGGCCUACAGUGUUGACCAGGUCCUACAGUGUUGACCAGGUCCUACAGUGUUGACCAGGUCCUACAGUGUUGACCAGGUCCUACGGCUGCUGGUGUUGACCAGGUCCUACGGCUGCUGGUGUUGACCAGGUCCUACGGCUGCUAGUGUUGACCAGGUCCUACAGUGUUGACCAGGUCCUACAGUGUUGACCAGGUCCUACGGCUGCUGGUGUUGACCAGGUCAUACGGCUGCUGGUGUUGACCAGGGCCUACGGCUGCUGCUGUUGACCAGGUCCUACAGUGUUGACCAGGUCCUACGGCUGCUGGUGUUGACCAGGUCCUACGGCUGCUGGUGUUGACCAGGUCCUACGGCUGCUGGUGUUGACCAGGUCCUACGGCUGCUGGUGUUGACCAGGUCCUACAGUGUUGACCAGGUCCUACGGCUGCUGGUGUUGACCAGGUCCUACAGCUGCUGGUGUUGACCAGGUCCUACGGCUGCUGGUGUUGACCAGGUCCUAUGGCUGCUGGUGUUGACCAGGUCCUACGGCUGCUGGUGUUGACCAGGGCCUACGGCUGCUGGUGUUGACCAGGUCCUACGGCUACAUAGUGUACUCUAUGGGGAACAGGAUGCCAUUUGGAACACGGCCUCUAUUGAAGACCUUUCUAGCUAUGUUGAUUCGUUCUGUUGUUUGUGCACGGAAAUGGAAUUAAAUACAACAAGGGCACGUUUUUGUUAUUUUUCAACAUAAUAUAUUUUGCACUGAGACACAAAAAUGUGAUAAUACUGUACAUUUUGUUUUUAGAUGCGUGUAUAAAGCCUCACCAGUGCCACAUCGUUCAAAUGUAUACAAUAUUGUUGUACUGUGGAAUGUUAAUAGUCUUUUGGAUUGCAAUGUAUCGCCUUUACACACAGUCUGCUGGUUGUCAACACUACAGGCCAUAAAGUAGGGGCAGCUGACUGCCAUAGAAUUACCGGCCAUAAAGCCUAUAGAGGAAUCUGCCUGCCAUAGAUCUGUAGUAAGGCCAUAGAGGGAAGCUGACUACCAUAGAUCUGUAGUAAGGCCAUAGAGGGGCAUCUGCUUGCUAUAGAUCUGUAGUAAGGCCAUAGAGGGAAGCUGACUACCAUAGAUCUGUAGUAAGGCCAUAGAGGGAAGCUGACUACCAUAGAUCUGUAGUAAGGCCAUAGAGGGAAGCUGCCUGUCAUAGAUCUGUAGUAAGGCCAUAGAGGGAAGCUGACUACCAUAGAUCUGUAGUAAGGCCAUAGAGGGAAGCUGACUGCCAUAGAUCUGUAGUAAGGCCAUAGAGGGGCAUCUGCUUGCCAUAGAUCUGUAGUAAGGCAAUAGAGGGAAGCUGCCUGCCAUAGAUCUGUAGUAAGGCCAUAGAGGGAAGCUGACUGCCAUAGAUCUGUAGUAAGGCCAUAGAGGGAAGCUGACUGCCAUAGAUCUGUAGUAAGGCCAUAGAUGGGCAGCUGAUCGUAUAAAUCUACUGUAUGGCCAUAGAGCUAUAAGCCACAUAAAGAGAACAGACAGUAUAGGCCAUAAUAUACAGAAGAGCAAUUGAAUGUUUGUAGCUACAUGAAUGCCGUAGAGCUGUAGUAUGGCCAUAUAAAGGGGUAGCUGAAUGUUUGUAGCUACGUGAAUGCCGUAGAGCUGUAGUAAGGCCAUAUGAAGGGAUAGCUGAAUGUUUGUAGCUACGUGAAUGCCGUAGAGCUGUAGUAAGGCCAUAUGAAGGGAUAGCUGAAUGUUUGUAGCUACGUGAAUGCCGUAGAGCUGUAGUAAGGCCAUAUGAAGGGAUAGCUGAAUGUUUGUAGCCAUGAAUAUUGCUACAGUUAGAGUUUAGGCCAUAGAGUUACAGUAAUGCUAGAUGUGUUAUAUCCAUUAGAGCUACAGUAGAGAGACAUAAGUUUGACCAUAGUUACAGAGAGAGACAGCUAGAUGCUACAGAAGGCCAACAGGUUUAUACCAGAGAGUAGUGACCAUACUUACAGAGAGAGACAGCGAGAUGCUACAGAAGGCUAACAGGUUUAUACCAGAGAGUAGUGACCAUAGUUACAGAGAGAGACAGCUAGAUGCUACAGAAGGCUAACAGGUUUAUACCAGAGAUAGAGUAGUGACCAUAGUUACAGAGAGAGACAGCUAGAUGCUACAGAAGGCCAACAGGUUUAUACCAGAGAGUAGUGACCAUAGUUACAGAGAGAGACAGCUAGAUGCUACAGAAGGCUAACAGGUUUAUACCAGAGAUAGAGUAGUGACCAUAGUUACAGAGAGAGGCAGCUGUAUGCUACAGAAGGCCAACAGGUUUAUACCAGAGAGUAGUGACCAUACUUACAGAGAGAGACAGCUGGAUGCUACAGAAGGCCAACAGGUUUAUACCAGAGAUAAAGUAGUGACCAUACUUACAGAGAGAGACAGCUAAAUGCUACAGAAGGCUAACAGGUUUAUACCAGAGAGUAGUGACCAUACUUACAGAGAGAGACAGCUAGAUGCUACAGAAGGCUAACAGGUUUAUACCAGAGACAUCACAAUAAGACCUCAAACCUCCUGUUGUUCCCCACCGGAACAGAGAAUUCACUAUAAAUAAAUGUUUCUUUUUUCUGUA
Molecule: long non-coding RNA, 4325 nt
Organism: Oncorhynchus gorbuscha (pink salmon)
Lineage: Eukaryota; Metazoa; Chordata; Actinopteri; Salmoniformes; Salmonidae
Exons: 3
Source: RefSeq, a predicted model, not a curated record